Ictalurus punctatus (channel catfish) is the source of this 136-nucleotide small nuclear RNA. Ensembl annotates it as U11 spliceosomal RNA. Lineage: Eukaryota; Metazoa; Chordata; Actinopteri; Siluriformes; Ictaluridae. The record is from Ensembl.
AAAAAGGGCAUCUGUCGUGAUUGACACAGUAAGGGCAGGGUAUUUCUGUCCUUAUUGCGGAAUCGCUAUCAAGAGAUUUCGGAUGCAUAAUUUUUGAAAACCGGGGUUGCUGAUAACCGUUUGUUUCGGCGCCCCA